GGUUAAUUUUAUGAAUGCUGAUAUAUAUGAAAAUGUCUUUAGUCUAUCUCUGCACAUGACUAAUACUUUGCUAAAUCUGGAAUUCCAGGUUGAAAAUAAUCUUCCCUCAGGAAUUUUUAGGUGUCCGUGUCUUCAGGAAUUACAAGGCGCUAUAGCACUGAUCCCAUGGUGUUAAAGUCUCUGCCCUGAAGUUCAAGAUUCACAGAGGUUGCUGGAUACGCGCCCCCUCUACGAUCCAUUCCCCGAUUGCCCAACACAGCACUUGGUGCUUCAGAAUGGCCACCCCUCCUCGCACCUUUAAAGUGCUCUGGCCUCCGAGACAAGAACUCCUUCAGAACUGUGCUUCACAAGUGGACUUCCGAUCCAGAUGGGGGACGGCCACUUCUGUCACCAAAGGAGAGCGAAAGAUUACUCUCCCACAGAUACAAACUCUUCAGUCUCCCGAAUCCCUGAGAAGAGGGGCCUCUCUCUAAAGCUCCUGAGGAGAAGGACGAGGUCAGCUGCCCUUGAUGCCCUGUGUCCCCAGUGCUGGAGGUCAAUCCUGGAGCCUCAUACUUGCUAGACAACUGCUCUAUGGCUGAGUUACACCAUACCCACCCGCCACGUUCUUUAUACUAAACCACU
Molecule: long non-coding RNA, 624 nt
Organism: Marmota flaviventris (yellow-bellied marmot)
Lineage: Eukaryota; Metazoa; Chordata; Mammalia; Rodentia; Sciuridae
Source: RefSeq, a predicted model, not a curated record